GGAGAGAGAAAGACGAGACCUGCAGCAGGAAGGAAGAUCGUGCCUGGAGACCACCCGCUGUUCUCAGUGCCAACCCUGCAAAGUUCAGCAGGUCAAACUGAACCCCAGCGGAAAGAGGGUAAGCACGUCGGUAACACUGCUCGCUUUCAUUGUCUCAGCUGCGCGACAUUAAAACCACAUUACAGUGAGCAUUACCAGCGAAAUUCAGCUGAGAGACUGCAAGAGCCCUGCACUUGCUCACGUCGCUGUAGCAGGCAGGGAAGUCACAAAGCCCCGCUCUGCGCCCGCCUCCGCCUCAGCAGCUCCGUGCGGGGUAGCGGGUGCUGGAUGCCCCGGGACAGGCACGGGACAAGCCCAGCAGCACCGCGGCAGCCCGGCACGGCACCGGGAGCCUCGCCCGGCCCCUUGGAGCAAGGCAAGGCAUUGGCUCGAUCAUUUUAAAAAGAUGAUAGACUAGAAAAUCAGCCUGAGCUUGAGACCAACCCAAAUCACGAGUUUCACAGAACUGCCUGAUUUUCAGCAGAAAAUGGUGAGUGUUGAACAACAGAAUUGCUCAGUUCUGUCUAUGCUGUUAGAAACGUAAGCUUGGAUGCCAAGAAAUGUUGCAUUUACAUGGUGACAGCUGAUGUACAUUUGAUUUUAAGCACUUCUUUUGGCAUACAGGAGAAAACAAAGGUUUAAAAAAGCUGUAUUAAACCUCUGUUCAGCAGAACAAAGCUCAGCUAUUGAUGCAAUGUAUUAAGUUUUGGGUGAGAGGUUGGGUCUUUUGGGUAUAUAAAUUGCAGUGUCAGAGCUUUGCUAGCUAGAUGCUAGCCAUCCAGCUGUGUCCUAAACAUAAGGGGAAAAAACACUGAAGCUCACUAACCUGAGAUGUGUAGGUGUGCUAGAUAAAAGGAGGGUGUUCGGACACCCUGAUAAAGUAGUGUCUGGCAGCACUAGCUGAGGACAGUGUUAGCUGUUAGUGAUUGCAACCUUUAAAAGAGAACUUUAUGUUCACUUGAUGUGAACAGGUAGUUCCUGUUCUCUAUUUCAGUGAUUUAUUUUUUUUCCUCCACCCCUUAGUUGGUGAAGGCUAUCACACGCUGAGCUGGUCUCUGUCAGAGUGCCCUGAAGACCAGUGGGAUGCUGUAAAAGGGAGGUAACAUACACACCCCCAUUACCUCCUCACUGCCAGGUGUUCUGGGCACACUUGUGAUUCCAACAGCUUUAGAAGCAAGUUACUUGCUAAGUCUGGCAUCCCAUCGGGAAAACAAGGUGAUGAUAGCCCACUUACAUCAUUCCAAAGAGUCACUGUUGUUUGAAAAACUCAGCAGUAGUUAUCAGAGGGGUUAAGCAUCAACAGCUUCCAUACA
This 1352-nucleotide long non-coding RNA is filed under the name Cairina moschata (Muscovy duck). RNAcentral describes it as "domestica (muscovy Duck (domestic type)) lncRNA (ENSCMMG00000014965.1)". Lineage: Eukaryota; Metazoa; Chordata; Aves; Anseriformes; Anatidae. The record is from RNAcentral.